UUAUUCCCCAUAUUAUGCUUAUCAACCCCCACAACAAAGCAAAUAUAAGGUUUGAUUCAGGUGUGCUUGUUGCAUAUAUUUUGUCUGCAUGAUUAUAUUUCGUCUGCAUGAUGAUGAAACCUUUUUUUCUUUUAAUAUAUUGGAAUUUUAAAUAAGCUGCAGAAUGAGGGGGUAAUUCUGCCCCUUAUCAUAACUUUGCUGCACCACUGAGUAGGAUUUGAACUUGAGACCUUUCGAUGGAGAUUCUAAGCUUUCACUGCUGGGCUUUGAGACUUUGAGUGCUUCUUUGCAACAAAUCUUUAUUGUUGUCUUGGGAUAUUUUUUUGUUAGAAUGAUGCUUUUAUCAGCAUUUAGUUAUACUUGGCCAAACUGCAUUCUAGUAAUACAUAUUACCAUAGUUAUUUAAGGCCCACCUCAUGCUCAAGGCUCACCAGGCUCGAA
This 441-nucleotide unclassified non-coding RNA is filed under the name Hevea brasiliensis (rubber tree). The record is from RNAcentral. Lineage: Eukaryota; Viridiplantae; Streptophyta; Magnoliopsida; Malpighiales; Euphorbiaceae.